GUCCCUGAGGCGUGGCAAAGCAGGACCCCUUCGUGGCAGUGCGUCGGUGUCGCGACUCCACCCUGACGUCUCCAGGAGCUCGAGAGGGAUGGUCUCCGGACGCCAGGAGUCGCGGAGGGCCGACCAGGAUGAAGAAACUUCAGGCGGAGUCCCAGGAGAGCAGCGCGGGAUCCCAGCCUCAGCCUGCCCAGACGGAUCAAGACGGUCUCACCACACCCAAGGAUAGUAUUUAAAAAAGCAUCAGCGGAGCUCAUUGUUCUUCUGCAGGAGAGGUGCAGACCGACCUCCAAGAAGAUGGUUCUAACUCCUCCCGCCCUCUCUUCCCAUUGAGAAAUGGAGCCCCACCGCGACACAGGCUUGGAGAAGAAGUCGAGAACGGGAUGUGGCAAGGAUCUCUGUCACUCCAACGCUGGCCUUUCUGGCCAAGUCACCCGUUUGGCACUCCUUCCCGGAAGCCCAUGGCGGUGGCAUUGUGCUGUAUCCCGCCUGGGCUCUGACCUCUACACUGUCCUCCCUCUUGCUCUGUCUGCCAUGUUUCUGACGGGCCUGGAUGCUUCUUGGUCUGGCUCAGUGUCUUCCACAGAGAACACUUUUGAGUCCAUCAGGGAGAAACUGUGUGGAAAUCCAUUUCGUGAAUGUUGUCAUCAUAAAUCAUCAAAAUGUCAUCUGAUAGAACAUAUUUUUCUAAGUUAAUUUACUUAUGAGACAUUUACAAGGGUAUAGAAUAAUGUACUCA
This 736-nucleotide long non-coding RNA is filed under the name Homo sapiens (human). RNAcentral describes it as "HSALNT0385492". The record is from RNAcentral. Lineage: Eukaryota; Metazoa; Chordata; Mammalia; Primates; Hominidae.